UACGGAGGGUGCAAGCGUUGUCCGGAUUUAUUGGGUUUAAAGGGUGCGUAGGCGGCCCGUUAAGUCAGUGGUGAAAGCCUCCAGCUCAACUGGAGAACUGCCAUUGAUACUGACGGGCUUGAGUACAGACGAGGUUGGCGGAAUUGAUUGUGUAGCGGUGAAAUGCAUAGAUACAAUCAAGAACUCCGAUUGCGUAGGCAGCUAACUAGGCUGUAACUGACGCUGAGGCACGAAAGCGUGGGGAGCGAACAGG
This 253-nucleotide ribosomal RNA is filed under the name uncultured bacterium. RNAcentral's name for it is "partial 16S ribosomal RNA". It matches the Rfam family "Bacterial small subunit ribosomal RNA", at positions 524 to 776 of the family's 1533-position model. The record is from RNAcentral. RNAcentral also lists the same sequence under 1 other name.